This is an RNA transcript of Andrographis paniculata, 814 nucleotides long. It is a transcript of the gene named pentatricopeptide repeat-containing protein At2g27800, mitochondrial-like, with no coding region annotated. The transcript is spliced from 2 exons. NCBI's taxonomy places the organism in Eukaryota, Viridiplantae, Streptophyta, Magnoliopsida, Lamiales, Acanthaceae. The record is from RefSeq and is a predicted model, not a curated record.
GCCUAAUUCUUAUAUUAUUAUUUAUAUAUAAAUCAUAAUUAUUUAUAUGCUUAUAAUAUAAUACUCUCCAUUUUAUAUUUAUGUAAAUUAAAAAAUAUUUAUAAUAUUAAAUAAUUAUUAAAAAACAAAAAUAGAUAAAUUGUUACCAAAUCAAAUCACUCCAACAAUCCAAUUCACGCGCCGCCGUCACCCACCUUGCCCUCCGCCGUCUUUCUUCUUCCUUUUUCUUUCUUUCUUCCUUACUUUCUCCCCCUCUUCUCUUUUUUCUUUCCUUUUCUUCUAAGUUGCGCCGCCGCCGCCGCCCGCUGGAGUAUCCGGUGCGGCUUUUUUUAAUUUCCCUCUCUUUCUUCAUUUCCCUCUGAUUGUGCUUCCGUUUACUAGGAAAUCGAGUAUGUUUUAACAUUUUCCUCAUCUAUUUUUUCAUUUUCUUUGCUUCUCCUACCGGUGGUCUCCGGUCGCCGGCGCUUCCGUUUCAGACCUCUUUGCCCAAGUUUUUCCGGUAGCUAGGGUGCACAGAAAAUCGCACCAACAAACAAACAUGGCCAAGUUUAUUCUCUAACACCAGUUUUGCUUGUAGGUUUUGUAAGUCGUUAGUCGAAAAUUUUGGGUCAAAUACAGUUCGUGAAAGCUCACAUUCGAAGUUCCACCAUGUUCGCUCAAGUCAGCAAUUCUCCGUUCGCGCAUCGUUGAAAACCCUGGAACUCCGAUCUCCAGUACAGGAUCGUGCGUUUCCUUAUAUUCCACUUCCACAAGGAUAUACAGCGGUCCGAUUUCGAGAUCACUGCGCAAGCGAAUCAACAGAAGAGCUAGAUUG